This 1800-nucleotide small RNA is filed under the name Pongo abelii (Sumatran orangutan). RNAcentral describes it as "retained intron". Lineage: Eukaryota; Metazoa; Chordata; Mammalia; Primates; Hominidae. The record is from RNAcentral.
AGUGAACCGGGAGGUACUACCAGGUAAGGAAGGUGCGGUGGCCCCAGCCGUGGGUGAGAGGAGCUCCGCUCUGACACCCCCGCUCCUGUAGGUCGCCGCCGUUGCUCCGCUCGCUCAGAGAGAGCAUGGCCCUGAGAGGCGUCUCUGUGCGGCUGCUGAGCCGCGGACCCGGCCUGCAUGUCCUUCGCACGUGGGUCUCGUCGGCUGCGCAGACCGAGAAAGGCGGGAGGACACAGGGCCAACUGGCCAAGUGUAAGGACCUCUGGUCGCGCCGUGUGUCUGCUGCCCCUGUUCAGCUGUCUGUCUGCUCCAGGUGGACUCUGUCCCGGAAUCCGAGGGCUGCCCGGGCGGGGUGGCAGGGUCGUGGCCAGGGUCAGAGGCACUAAGGCAGUGAGUGCGCUGUGCCUGCGGGGCCGGAGAAAGGUCACCUGGUCAGUCUCGCUUGCAGCUCGCAGUAGCCGGGGGGCGACAUGGGUGUUGGGGGGGCAGGGCUGAUGAGGGUCUGAGAAGAGAGGGCACAGGGAUCUUGCGGACUGGACCGAGGCGAAUUCCCCUUCCCAGCCUCGCGUCCCCAGUUUGACUGGCAGGACCCGCUGGUGCUGGAGGAGCAGCUGACCACAGAUGAGAUCCUCAUCAGGGACACCUUCCGCACCUACUGCCAGGAGAAACUCAUGCCUCGCAUCCUGUUGGCCAAUCGCAACGAAGUUUUUCAUCGGGAGAUCAUUUCGGAGAUGGGGGAGUUGGGUGUGCUGGGCCCCACCAUCAAAGGAUAUGGCUGUGCUGGGGUUUCGUCUGUGGCGUAUGGGCUCCUGGCCCGAGAGCUGGAGCGGGUGGACAGUGGCUACAGGUCGGCGAUGAGUGUCCAGUCCUCCCUCGUCAUGCACCCUAUCUAUGCCUAUGGCAGCGAGGAACAGCGGCAGAAGUACCUGCCCCGGCUGGCUAAGGGGGAGCUGCUGGGAUGCUUUGGGCUCACAGAGCCCAACAGCGGAAGUGACCCUAGCAGCAUGGAGACCAGAGCCCGCUACAACUCAUCCAACAAGAGCUACACCCUCAAUGGGACCAAGACCUGUGUGGGCUCGGUGUGAAGAUGGCUGCAUUCGGGGCUUCCUGCUGGAGAAGGGGAUGCGGGGUCUCUCGGCCCCCCGGAUCCAGGGCAAGUUCUCGCUGCGGGCCUCAGCCACAGGCAUGAUCAUCAUGGACGGUGUGGAGGUGCCAGAGGAGAACGUGCUCCCUGGUGCAUCCAGCCUGGGGGGUCCCUUCGGCUGCCUGAACAACGCCCGGUACGGCAUCGCGUGGGGCGUGCUUGGAGCUUCGGAGUUCUGCUUGCACACAGCCCGGCAGUACACCCUCGACAGGAUGCAGUUUGGUGUCCCGCUGGCCAGGAACCAGCUGAUUCAGAAGAAGCUGGCAGACAUGCUCACUGAAAUUACCCUGGGCCUUCACGCCUGCCUGCAGCUUGGCCGCUUGAAGGACCAGGACAAGGCUGCCCCCGAGAUGGUCUCUCUGCUGAAGAGGAAUAACUGCGGGAAAGCCCUGGACAUCGCCCGCCAGGCCCGAGACAUGCUGGGGGGGAAUGGGAUUUCUGACGAGUAUCACGUGAUCCGGCACGCCAUGAACCUGGAGGCCGUGAACACCUACGAAGGUACACAUGACAUUCACGCCCUGAUCCUUGGGAGAGCUAUCACGGGAAUCCAGGCGUUCACGGCCAGCAAGUGAGUCCGCUCCAUCAGGGGCCCGAAACUCUCAAGCCCCUUUCUGGAGAGAUGCCUGGCUGGACCACAGGAGCGCUGUGCUCUGAGC